AUUCGAUCCCCUUCCCUCCGCUUCCCUUGUUUAGUCCUUGUCUCGUGCUGAUCUGAUCUAGUUUGCGGUUACUGCUCCUGCGAUCGUUUCAGUACCAAAUCCCAGUCACGGGGCCUUCCCUGGAAGGCUCUCGAUUUGUUCAGAAUAAUUGUUUCUCUGAUCUGUGCUCACUGUUACGAUGGCUGGGUCCGCUCAAUCUCCUAGCGUUGUGUAAUCAAUAGGCGGUACUCGAUUGCUUAGUAUACUUGGGCGCAAUUACUAUUUCGUUCGGAAGCGGGCCUUGUGUUGGUUUUGUGAGUUGCCAUGUUAUUAGAUUUUUGUCUCGGAGCUGUGCUCUAUCCUUAUUCGUUAUAUCAUCAUAGGUUGCUCCUUUUGGUAGGAGUUCUAUUUUUUCCUAGCAAUGUUUUCAGAUUUACUUCCUCUACUGUUAGUUUAUACGAUCUGUGUCCUCCAUAUAUGAUCUGUUAUACGACCCAGCUGGCAUCUAGCUGUGUAUACGAUCUGUUACUGUUAGUUGUUUGUUUACUUCCGUCCUCUGCUGUCCCUAGAUUUUCUCAAUCUGGCAGAGGAGCAUAUCAUGGCAGGUAAUUUGGUAGUGAGCGUGCUCUUUGUUUCUAAUUGCUUUAGGUUGUUUCAUCACUAGUAAUGUGCGUUGAUGAAUCAUUGGAUUUUAUUUUUAUUGGUCCAAUCUAGCUAGUUUUGUGUUUUGAAGUGUGAUCCUUCAUUUUAUUGGGUCCCAGCCUGUCCCAUGGUUUGGUGCUGUGCAAUUCUUGCCAUGCUAGUGAAAUAUGGACGUGUGGAUGUUUCAUCAAUACUACAUUUUUUUGAACAUUAUCCCUUCAUUUUCUUCUUGCUGGAGCACCACGAGAUGGAAGAUGCUUUUGAUUUUUUCUUCUUGUUCACUUGAUUGUGAGAAAUUAGGACUGAUAUGCAACUGUGCUUGUUUUGCUGUGGUUUGUGUGAUUCGUGGCUCAUAUGUGAGCUCGAAUUCUGUUUUGAUCUGCAAUAAUGAGUUGUUUUCUCCCUAGUGUUACAAACUUAGUAUUUGUGCUUGACGUGUCUUGGGGAGGGGUGGGUGGUAUAUGUAGCAAUUUUCUGUACUCUCUUUGUUCCAAAAUAUGAGGCGUAUUUCGUUCCCUUUGACCAA
This is a long non-coding RNA of Brachypodium distachyon (stiff brome), 1147 nucleotides long. RefSeq lists it as uncharacterized. The record is from RefSeq and is a predicted model, not a curated record. Lineage: Eukaryota; Viridiplantae; Streptophyta; Magnoliopsida; Poales; Poaceae. The transcript is spliced from 2 exons.